CCAAUACUCAAGAAGUUUGCCCCGAUCUAUAUAAUCAAUCAUAAAAACAAGGAAAUGUUAUUCAUUAACUUUAAGCAAUUUUUAUAGAAAUCGAUUAUGUACAGAUUAGGUACAUCCCUUUAGCUGUCACUCAACUAACAUUGAUUUAAAUUGUUGGACUGUUACUGUUAGUAUGUUUUGGUUUUGUUGCAUCGAGUUGAGCAUUUGUUCCUCUGUUACUAACUACUAAUCCUAAAGUACAACACCGCCGUUCGUGUGAAUCUAGUGUUAAAUAAGACGUUAAUAUUCGUGAUUUUCGACAUGGCUACUGCUAGAAGACAAUGUUUGAAUUGUUCUUUGAUGUUAGCGCCAUUUAUGCGCAGACACAUUCUGCCGGACAUUCCCGAUAAUAUCUUAGCCAUUUUACGGGCUUGGAUUACACCUACACCGCUUUCAAGUGAAGACAUAGUGUGUGAUAAUUGUUACACUUUGUUACUAAGUGCAAGUGAGAGCCAAGAACCCGUAAUGCCCGCACUUGGGCAUACAAGUGUCUUUGUUGUUGAUGUUGUCAAGUUGUGGAAUUUCAAUGUUGAGAUCCAGAACUCAUACUGUACCACUUGAUAGUCCACAAAGAAAUCAUAUAUUAUCAUGGGUACCAUCACAUCAGGUAAAUAGAUUGGUCAGAGUUUGCCGUGCAUGUUGGAUGGCUUCUACUAGGACUAUUCAAAGGCAAUAAGGCCAAAUGGCACGUAUCAGAUAGAAGUGUCCGAAGAAAUUGAAGAAGACUUGCCGUUAAUAUUAGGAGCCAACAAGUAUUUAGUUCGUGGGAGAAUAAAGUCAAGACAUUAUCCAGACAUUAUUAUUAAGACAUGUAUCCAGCAAAAUGUACUAUACAUACAUGUUGAUAAAUAAGGAUGAAAAUGUCAGAGACACAUUAGACGCCUUAUCUGGUUAUUAUUGCUCAUGUCUCGUUGGAAAGCGAACAGUCGGUUGUUGUGUGCAUGUUAUGUGUAUUUUGUGGUACUUGAGCUGGGCCCGUUAUAAUGAUGUAAGGGCAUCAGCUCCAAGUCUUGACUAUAUAUUUUUUGAUUAAAUAAUAACGAAACAUAAAGUGUUUUAUUUGUCCUUUAAAUAG
Molecule: long non-coding RNA, 1114 nt
Organism: Hyposmocoma kahamanoa
Lineage: Eukaryota; Metazoa; Arthropoda; Insecta; Lepidoptera; Cosmopterigidae
Exons: 3
Source: RefSeq, a predicted model, not a curated record